GAUGAAGAACGUAGUGAAAUGCGAUAAGUAAUGUGAAUUGCAGAAUUCAGUGAAUCAUCGAAUCUUUGAACGCACAUUGCGCCCGUCAGUAUUCUGGCGGGCAUGCCUGUUCGAGCGUCAUUACGCCCCUCAAGUCCCCUGUGGACUUGGUGUUGGGGAUCGGCGAGGCUGGUUUUCCAGCACAGCCGUCCCUUAAAUUAAUUGGCGGUCUCGCCGUGGCCCGCCUCUGCGCAGUAGUAAAACACUCGCAACAGGAGCCCGGCGCGGUCCACUGCCGUAAAACCCCCCAACUUUUUAUAGUUGACCUCGAAUCAGGUAGGACUACCCGCUGAACUUAAGCAUAUCAAUAAGCGGAGGA
Molecule: unclassified non-coding RNA, 358 nt
Filed under: soil metagenome
Description: partial contains 5.8S ribosomal RNA, internal transcribed spacer 2, and large subunit ribosomal RNA
Rfam family: 5.8S ribosomal RNA (bases 1-120)
Source: RNAcentral